UGAAUCUCCAGCGGCCAACUCAAAAGCUAAGUGGAGCUGUUCACUUGUGCCUGUAACACCAACCCUAAGAGGUUGGCAGAAACAGGAUCCUAGGGCUCCAUAGCUUGAUAGCUACCAGGCUAGGUGUGGGUUCACAGAGACCCUGUCUCUACUGAAUAAGGCAGCGAGUGAUAAGGCAACACAUAUUCCUCCGGCCUCUGAACAUGGAGGCUCGGGUGCAUGUGCCUACACAUACCAUACACACAUACCACACAUACCAUACACACAUACACCUCCCCUUCCCCCACCCCCCACAUGCCAAUGUGAGGGGUGCUGGGGAGAUGGCUCAAUCCCUAAAGUGCUUGCUAGUCAACCUGUAACAACCCCAGCUCCAUCCCCAGCACUCACCUAACAAGUUGGUGUGGUAGUUCACAUCUGUCUCUCCACUGCUGGGGAUCACCUAGCCAAACUGAGACUCUGAGACUCUAGUCAGUAGAGACCCUGACACAAGUGGAGAGCAACUGAUACAAGUACCUGUUAUAAACCUCUGACCUCUCCAUGCAUGUUCACUCUCACGCACAUGUGUGUACAUACAGAUACACAUCAUACAAAUGCCUAUGAGAUAGCUGGAUGUCAUGGGCCAUGUUUAUAAUCUCACCACUUGGGAGGCCGUGGCAGAAUAGCAGCUGCAAGUUUGAGACAAGCUUGGACUACAUGAAGCCCUGUAGAAACCCAACAAAUCUUGUUGGUACUUGACAGUUCAACUCCACACGGCUACAGAUGGCUUGCCCAUUCCCAGUGCUCUGCUGCCUAACCACAGCUCGGUUUAAAGAACUCUGAGGCUUCAAGUGGGGGAUCAGAAAAUGGACUGUUUUCCCAGCCCAAUGGGCUUUCCUACCUCCGAAGCUCUGGAAUAGUGAACCACAGAAGACUCCAGAAUAAACUUUUAAAGUCAAUGAAGACGCUGGGAUGUUCUUACUCAGCUGAAGAUCUUGUUUCCUCCCCCAGCCUUCCAUGCACCUCCUCCUUGUUGGGACUAGGGAGUGACAUCAGAAUUGCAGCUAGUGACAUCACUGUCUCUAUAGCAACCAUGUGAGGUUGCCUAAGAUUGAGUACUCAAAAAAGGAUAAGAGGAGGGGUGGAAAUAAAUAUACUUUAUGGCUCUGACA
Molecule: long non-coding RNA, 1148 nt
Organism: Mastomys coucha (southern multimammate mouse)
Lineage: Eukaryota; Metazoa; Chordata; Mammalia; Rodentia; Muridae
Exons: 3
Source: RefSeq, a predicted model, not a curated record